This 493-nucleotide ribosomal RNA is filed under the name uncultured bacterium. Its description in RNAcentral is "partial 16S ribosomal RNA". It matches the Rfam family "Bacterial small subunit ribosomal RNA", at positions 28 to 523 of the family's 1533-position model. The record is from RNAcentral.
AACGAACGCUGGCGGCGUGCUUAACACAUGCAAGUCGAACGCUGAAGCCCUUUCGGGGGUGGAUGAGUGGCGAACGGGUGAGUAACACGUGGGUAAUCUGCCCUGUACUUCGGGAUAAGCCUUGGAAACGGGGUCUAAUACCGGAUAGGACCUGUCCUCGCAUGGGGGUGGGUGGAAAGUUCCGGCGGUAUGGGAUGAGCCCGCGGCCUAUCAGCUUGUUGGUGGGGUAGUGGCCUACCAAGGCGACGACGGGUAGCCGGCCUGAGAGGGUGACCGGUCACACUGGGACUGAGACACGGCCCAGACUCCUACUGGAGGCAGCAGUGGGGAAUCUUGCGCAAUGGGCGAAAGCCUGACGCAGGAACGCCGCGUGGGGGAUGACGGCCUUCGGGUUGUAAACCUCUUUCGACAUCGACGAAGGGGCCCUGUUGUGGUGUUUUGACGGUAGGUGUAGAAGAAGCACCGGCUAACUACGUGCCAGCAGCCGCAGUAA